UACGUAGGUGACAAGCGUUGUCCGGAUUUACUGGGCGUAAAGAGCGCGCAGGCGGUCGAUCAAGUCGAGUGUGAAAGCCCCCGGCUCAACUGGGGAGGGUCAUUCGAUACUGAUCGACUCGAAGGCAGGAGAGGGUAGUGGAAUUCCCGGUGUAGUGGUGAAAUGCGUAGAUAUCGGGAGGAACACCAAUUGCGAAGGCAGCUCGCUGGGACGUUACUGACGCUGAGACGCGAAAGCGUGGGGAGCAAACAGG
RNAcentral lists this ribosomal RNA (253 nucleotides) under uncultured bacterium. Its description in RNAcentral is "partial 16S ribosomal RNA". It matches the Rfam family "Bacterial small subunit ribosomal RNA", at positions 524 to 776 of the family's 1533-position model. The record is from RNAcentral.